Molecule: ribosomal RNA, 298 nt
Filed under: uncultured bacterium
Lineage: Bacteria
Description: partial 16S ribosomal RNA
Rfam family: Bacterial small subunit ribosomal RNA
Source: RNAcentral
AACGAACGCUGGCGGCAGGCCUAAUACAUGCAAGUCGAGCGCGUGUAGCAAUACACGAGCGGCGGACGGGUGAGUAACACGUGGGAACAUGCCUUUCGGUUCGGAAUAACGCAGGGAAACUUGCGCUAAUACCGAAUGCGCCGGUAACGGGAAAGAUUUAUCGCCGAAAGAUUGGCCCGCGUAGGAUUAGCUAGUUGGUGAGGUAACGGCCCACCAAGGCGACGAUCCUUAGCUGGUGAGAGAACGAUCAGCCACACUGGGACUGAGACACGGCCCGAGACUCCGUACGGGAGGCAGC